This 1818-nucleotide long non-coding RNA is filed under the name Paramuricea clavata. Lineage: Eukaryota; Metazoa; Cnidaria; Anthozoa; Malacalcyonacea; Plexauridae. The record is from RNAcentral.
AUUGGAUUAAAAACUAUGUGUCCGUUUGUGGUAAUCUUCAACACAUAUGACAAAAGAUUUUUAAAGAUUUUUGCUUCCUUAUACGGGCACUGUGAUGGAAAAUGUUAUACCAAUUUUCGGCCGAUCACGUUCGUGUUGACAAAACGUCGAUUGCUUCAACUCGCUAAUCUGACUGGGCGAGUCAGGCGACCAAGUCAUAAAUUCGCUUCGUUUUUUUUUCUCUGCUGCUGGUGUUGUCAAGUUUUGUCCCCAUCAUGCUUUGAGGCAUGUGAGUCGCCAAAGUAAACGCCUACCCGGUGUCUUGUUAGUUAUUGUAGACCAUAUUGUAUUGAGUUGUUUUCUUAGUGAAAAACUCGAAAUGUUUGUGACUGUAGUCCGUUUGUAAUCUGCAUUAAACAUCGCGAUAUAAAUUGUAUAUACACUACAUUUUACUCAACAAUAAACAGUAAACAUUCCAAACUUAAUUAACCUAUUCUUUGACUAGUUAUAAAAGCAUGCUGUGAUAAUCAGUUAUGUAUCAUACCAAAACACCGAACAAAGCCAAGGAAAUGUAAGGAUUAUUCUUAAGGUAUGAUAAUUCAUUGCCACGCAGACGCGGCCAAAAGAGUGUCUAAGUUUAUAGACUACAGUUUUGUAUAGUUUCGGCCGAUAACUUUACACCAAGAUGGCUCUGUCAAGAGGAAUGGCUCACGCCAGCGUUGGAAUUGGCUUCGCGCUCUUGUCACUGACUUUUGGGUGUAUCGCUGCUGGUGCUUUUGCGAUGAGUAAACUUAAUGAAUGGGUCGCGAGCAUUGGACUUUGGGCAAUCUAUGUGAGUCUCAUAAUAUAUUUUGUAUUUCUUCAUUUCAUGUUUAGUAACUUAGGCACUGGAAUUACUGUGAUAGUGACAUACGGCGGAUAGAGGAACCGCAGAUUUGUUGAAAAAGUCUCUUGGGCAACAAAAAUAAUUUUCAGCUACAUUCAAAGACGUGAGCAAUGUUUUCUUUAAAGCGGGAGGGGGGUAAUUUUGUUGAAUUAAAGUACGUUUACACAAAAUUAUUAAUUGGGCCGAUUUAAUGAAACGAUAUAUUUGAAAAAUACGCUGUCAACGUGAUCUGACGACAUCGUCAUGCAACUGGCAAUAUUCAUUGAUAGGGAAUUUAAACUUCACGUUUCCGGGAACGGCAAACGGUAGGUUCGAACGUUCUUGGCAAAAUUUUGAUUGAACGUUUUCGUUUCAUAUUUUCUGUCUUGUGUCGAAAGAAUAAUUAUGUAUUUCAGUUUUAAAACGGCAAGUUCAUUUACUCUUUAUUGCCUGAUACCGUAAAAUUUUUCUUUGCCUGGCGUUUGCCGUAUAACGCGAAGCUUAAACUAUCUAUUAACAUUCGGCAGAACCUGAAAUCAGCCCGAUUAAUCGUUUUGUGCAAACAUAGCUUUAGAUCGUGGGUUUCGACGUGCGAAAAAUAAUUAUCACGCCCAGGAAUCGUAUUGACACAUUCUGUUUGAUGUUUCAACCUAAAACAGGAUCAAUAUAUCGACCUUCAUUGUCAUUGGAAAACGACCACGUCGCACCCUCCCCCAUAACUGAAAAAAGUGUUGAGAUCAAUUUUUUCUCUGGAAUAAAACUCUAGAAUGUUUUAAACGCAAUAUAAUCACGAGAGAUUUGAACAGAACACCAAAGUACUUUUGUGGUGGUCAUUCCAAUAUGGAUUCAUCCUAUAAUUCGUAUAAAUCAUUCCUUAACACGUCAUUGAUUUAAAUCUUUUUUCUACAUUUCACAGUUUUUAAUUCCUGCUAUUGUACUUCUUGUGGCUGGAUUUGGAAGGUAUUUCACCAUGG